GACGAACGCUGGCGGCGUGCUUAACACAUGCAAGUCGAACGGAAAGGCCUCUUUCGGGGGGUACUCGAGUGGCGAACGGGUGAGUAACACGUGAGUAACCUGCCCUUGACUUUGGGAUAACUUCAGGAAACUGGGGCUAAUACCGGAUAAGAGCUCCUGCUGCAUGGUGGGGGUUGGAAAGUUUCGGCGGUUGGGGAUGGACUCGCGGCUUAUCAGCUUGUUGGUGGGGUAGUGGCUUACCAAGGCUUUGACGGGUAGCCGGCCUGAGAGGGUGACCGGCCACAUUGGGACUGAGAGACGGCCCAGACUCCUACGGGAGGCAGCAGUGGGGAAUAUUGCACAAUGGGUGGGAGCCUGAUGCAGCAACGCCGUGUGCGGGAUGACGGCCUUCGGGUUGUAAACCGCUUUCGCUCAUGACGAAGCUUUGUGUGACGGUAGUGGGUAAAGAAGCACCGGCUAACUACGUG
Molecule: ribosomal RNA, 467 nt
Filed under: uncultured bacterium
Lineage: Bacteria
Description: partial 16S ribosomal RNA
Rfam family: Bacterial small subunit ribosomal RNA
Source: RNAcentral